CCUGUCUUUAUCCAUCUUUCCAGUCUUCUGCCCUGGCCUGCGAGGAUCCCCUGAUACUUCUCCUCCCAGACUGACCUUGGCCUUUUUCUGCCCAGACUGACAUCGAACCCCAGUCUGAAGUGAGAAGGACAGUCGCCUGUGGGUUCUCAUCUGCCAUCCUUGCAGUCUUUGGCCCCGGACCAAGAUCCCAAAGGUGUCUUCUUCUUCAAGGUGGACCUUGACCAUUCUCCUCAGACCGAGAUCUGGGCCCAAGAUUCCAGAAUUCCCUGGGUCUCAUUGACCAUCUUCUCCACCUACCAAGAUCAAGAAAGGCAUCUCCUCUCAGACUUUUCCUUGGCACUUGCCUGCCCCCGACCCCCUGUGGAACCAGGCCCUAAGCUCCUGGGCCACCCAAUCCUGUAUCUCCCACCCCCACGCCCACCCCCACUGCUGUCCCAGGAAGGCAUCUCCACCACUGACUGACAUCCAAAGUGGCUCUGUGUGAG
Molecule: long non-coding RNA, 485 nt
Filed under: Phascolarctos cinereus (koala)
Lineage: Eukaryota; Metazoa; Chordata; Mammalia; Diprotodontia; Phascolarctidae
Description: lncRNA (ENSPCIG00000032355.1)
Source: RNAcentral